RNAcentral lists this ribosomal RNA (450 nucleotides) under uncultured bacterium. RNAcentral's name for it is "partial 16S ribosomal RNA". It matches the Rfam family "Bacterial small subunit ribosomal RNA", at positions 354 to 796 of the family's 1533-position model. The record is from RNAcentral.
GUGGGGAAUUUUGGACAAUGGGCGCAAGCCUGAUCCAGCAAUGCCGCGUGUGUGAAGAAGGCCUUCGGGUUGUAAAGCACUUUUGUCCGGAAAGAAAUCUCCUGGGUUAAUACCUCGGGGGGAUGACGGUACCGGAAGAAUAAGCACCGGCUAACUACGUGCCAGCAGCCGCGGUAAUACGUAGGGUGCGAGCGUUAAGCGGAAUUACUGGGCGUAAAGCGUGCGCAGGCGGCUAUGCAAGACAGAUGUGAAAUCCCCGGGCUCAACCUGGGAACUGCAUUUGUGACUGCAUGGCUAGAGUGCGUCAGAGGGAGGUGGAAUUCCGCGUGUAGCAGUGAAAUGCGUAGAGAUGCGGAGGAACACCGAUGGCGAAGGCAGCCUCCUGGGAUGACACUGACGCUCAUGCACGAAAGCGUGGGGAGCAAACAGGAUUAGAAACCCGUGUAGUCC